This 355-nucleotide unclassified non-coding RNA is filed under the name uncultured Gaiellales bacterium. RNAcentral describes it as "contains 16S-23S intergenic spacer region". Lineage: Bacteria; Bacillati; Actinomycetota; Thermoleophilia; Gaiellales. The record is from RNAcentral.
CGAGUCCCCGGCAUUACCCGCUGGCAACAUAGGACAAGGGUUGCGCUCGUUGCGGGACUUAACCCAACAUCUCACGGCACGAGCUGACGACAGCCAUGCAGCACCUGAACCGGCGGUCCCCGAAGGGAAAGUCCUAUUUCUACGACAUUCCGGUACAUGUCAAGCCUUGGUAAGGUUCUUCGCGUCGCGUCGAAUUAAACCACAUGCUCCGCUGCUUGUGCGGGCCCCCGUCAAUUCCUUUGAGUUUUAGCCUUGCGGCCGUACUCCCCAGGCGGGGUGCUUAAUGCGUUAGCUUCGGCACGGACGGAGUCGACACCGCCCACACCUAGCACCCAUCGUUUACGGCGUGGACUAC